UGUCCAGUUUAUCCACAUUAGAGUGUGAGUCAUGUUAGCUCGGGAAACAUACCCGCGUCUCCUUUCCUCGUAGUAUUGAGAGUCGUGCAGAGUCUGUUUUUUCUUUAGUUCAUUCGGAUAAAUGGGGUCCUAGUAGAGUAUGUUCAACCUUAGGAUUUCGUUAUUUUGUUAGUUUCAUUGUUGAUCAUUCAAGAUGUACUUGGAUUUUCUUAAUGAAAGAUCGUUCUAAGUUGUUUUCUAUAUUCCGAAAUUUUUGUGCUGAAAUUAAAAAUCAAUUUGGUGUUUCUAUUUGCACUCUUCGAAGUGAUAAUGCCUUAGAAUAUUUAUCCUCUCAAUUUCAGCAGUUUAUGUUUUCUCAUGGAAUUAUUCAUCAGACCUCUUGUACUUAUACCCCUCAGCAAAAUGGGGUUGCAGAAAGAAAGAAUAGGCACAUUAUUGAGACUGUUCGCACACUUCUCAUUGAAUCUCAUGUUCCGAUGCGUUUUUGGGGCGAUGCAGUUCUCACAUCUUGUUAUUUGGUUAAUCGGAUGCCUUCAUCUCCCAUCCAGAAUCAGAUUCCGUAUGAGGUANNNNNNNNNNNNNNNNNNNNNNNNNNNNNNNNNNNNNNNNNNNNNNNNNNNNNNNNNNNNNNNNNNNNNNNNNNNNNNNNNNNNNNNNNNNNNNNNNNNNNNNNNNNNNNNNNNNNNNNNNNNNNNNNNNNNNNNNNNNNNNNNNNNNNNNNNNNNNNNNNNNNNNNNNNNNNNNNNNNNNNNNNNNNNNNNNNNNNNNNNNNNNNNNNNNNNNNNNNNNNNNNNNNNNNNNNNNNNNNNNNNNNNNNNNNNNNNNNNNNNNNNNNNNNNNNNNNNNNNNNNNNNNNNNNNNNNNNNNNNNNNNNNNNNNNNNNNNNNNNNNNNNNNNNNNNNNNNNNNNNNNNNNNNNNNNNNNNNNNNNNNNNNNNNNNNNNNNNNNNNNNNNNNNNNNNNNNNNNNNNNNNNNNNNNNNNNNNNNNNNNNNNNNNNNNNNNNNNNNNNNNNNNNNNNNNNNNNNNNNNNNNNCAUUCUGACCAUCUUGAUAUAUCUAAGGUUUUACCUAUACCGGUCUUUAGGGAGUCUACUAUAUCUCCUCCUUCACCUUCCGCUACAGAAUUCUUACCCAUUCCAACCGUUGGAGAGUCUAGUGUGGCUCCUCCUAGACUCUCUGCGACAGACACUCCACUCUUGACAUUCAUCGUCGUCCUCGCCCAACACCCCCCCUUUCGUAAUUUCUAAAAGUCUUCCAUUCUUUCUUAAACACCAUACCCAAUCAAAUAUGUUCAUUCAUUUUGAAAAGAAGGGAGUAUGUAACACCUUCAAAUCCUUUGCCCCAUCCCAUAGCGAGUGACUGAUUGGAGAUAUGACCACCUUCCCACUGACUAGAUGUAACAUUUUUUUGAAAUGUAACUAGAUGGAACUUUUUGUCCUUGUUAGUAUUCCACAUGAAACUCCUUUACGUCCUCUUUAUUUUCUCCAUGACUUCUGCAGGAGUAUGCUUGAGAGACAUAGAGUAUGUUGGGAUGCUUGUUAAGAUGCUCGUAGUCAGUACCUUUUCCCUCUCGUUUGGCAAGUAGCUUGUUUGUCACCCAUUAGUCUUUUUUCGACCCUCUCAUUUACUGGAUUCCAUACUGCUAGGUUCUUGUUUGACGCUCCAAGCGGUAGGACAAGAUAGCUAGUUAGUAAUGCUCCAAUGUUGCCUAUUCCUAACGCAGGGAUGAUCUUGCAAUGUCCUGUUGAUCUUAAAGUUUGAUACUGUUUGAAACCUUAUCAAUACUUGUCUCUUUGUCCUAUGUUUCUUUGUACUUUCUGCCCUCCUCUUUGGUUGGGAAUCCCCUUAAGUAUCAUCCUUCUAUAGUUGUGUCCAUCAUCUUACUCAAUCCCUUCAUGACUAAUAUAAACAACAUAGAGGAAAGCAGGUUCCCCGUUGUAGGCUGCUGGAGUUUGGAAGAAACCAUUUGUUGCUGUUAACCAGCACGGGAAAUCUAACUUAUCCACUUUCUCUAGUUUCCCCAAAUCCUAUUAUUUGUAUCACAUGGUCCAAGAAGUCUCAAUUCAUGUGACUUUGCUAGAUCUAGCAUAAGAUGCCUUCUGGCUCUUUUUCCUACUGGAGUCUACCGAUUCAUUUUCCAUGAGCACAACAUCCAAAAUUUAUUUUUCUCGUGUAGCACCUUCUUUAGUUAAUUGACAAGCACCUUUUUAACUAUGUUAUGGAACUUCGUACUAGACUAACAACAUUAUACUCUCUGAUUCCUCAUUCAUCGGUAUGAUGGCUAAGAAAGAGGCAUUGAGGCUCCUUUCGAACUUUUCGGAUGCUCCUGGAAUUGCGUUGGUCGUCUCCAUCUCCUCUCCUUUACUGUGUUCCAGCAUUGUUGAACGAAAGCUGUGGUUAGUCUAUCCAUUAGCGACCCUUAUGACUCCCCAAAGCCAAGGAUAUUUCCCCUGCCCACUCUGCUUCUUCCUCUUACUCUCUGAAUUUCUACCGCAUAAGUACCCUAUCCUUAUCCUUGAUGCUCCCUUUUACCCCUUUUGUUCGCCAACAUUAAGUACCCUACCCUUACUUUUAGCAUACCCUUACUUUUGGCACAGUAUUGGUCCCCAUCCCCCUUUUGUUUGCCAGCACUAAGUCCUAAUAGUCCAGCCACCUGCUUCCCCUGCUUCAAAUCCCCUCCUUCACCAACACCCAUUGUCCCUGCUCACUCCCUUUCUUCCUCCUUGCUUUCAAUGUUUGAGCAGGUUGAGCAAAGGAGUCCUUGCCGUUGCCGGAUUCAGCCUUCUGACCAUCCUUCCAAACUGGAGUCAUGAGGAUUUCCCCUUGAUUCUGCAAAUGGGAUCUCCUCCCUUUGGCCGUGUCCUGCUGGUCAUGUUUUACUGCUGAAUCACUGCUCUGUGGAAACCAAAAACUACAAAAAUUUCUCCAGGUUUCUGAGAACUUUUGGAGCAUUUUUAGAAUAUCAGGGAAACCAAAAACUACAAAAAGUUCUCCAGGUUUCUGAGAAUUUGACCUUCUUUCAGCUGCAUUUUACUUCUAUCAUUAAUUUCUGAAACACAAUCUCAGUAUCCUUGCUGCUGCUGUUAAACUUCUUGUGCGUUCCUUGAAGGCAAAUGCAAUAUACUGUGCAAUGAUCUCAUGAAGCCAUAUUUCAUUACUAUUUGUUGACUUUUAUAUGCGGAAAAUCCUAGUCUCCUCUAUAUGAAGCAGAGAGUUUAAUAUAUACCAAGAAGCUGCAUUGAGAAGUGUUGAUUGAUUGUCCCAUCUUGGUAGUUACUCAGAGAAGUUCAGGAUUUUUACCAGCUGAUCACUCCAUUUUCUUGUCUUUUGGACAUAACUGUAUCUAAUACGAGUGAAGGAUACACGUGGAUGACUUCCUGUUUAUGUCAAAUCACCAAUUGCGUGCUAUCUUUCCUGAAUCUAGCCACAGAACUUCUAUAAACACAAUUCAUCAAGCUGUCAGAGGAUAGCACCUUAAUUCUUCACACUAAAAAGAAAUGUUAAUGAGAGGAGUCUGCUUAUUGGUUGAACCUCUUGGCAGUUCUUCUACCUAUUGGCUAGACCAAAGAAUUCUGUGAUUGAGUUAUCUCUGGACACUUCCAAAAUGAUACAUACUUCCAUGCUAUAGACUAAACAAAUGCGGAACAAAAAUUAGCUCUAAAUGCGCUGGCUUAGAAGCUCUAAUUAUAACCACCAAACUUUUAAAACACAGUCACUUUAAUUGCAUGGUUUGCAGUAGAAGCCCGGUUAACCUUGGCACCAGUACGUACGAAAUCAACCCCAGGCUAAGGAAUUCUCAGCUUUAAAAGGAAACUCUGUGGUGCUUGUGAUCUUUUAGACUUGUGUUUAUGGCAAAAGAGAGCCGUACAAUUUCGGGCAGUUUUUCUUUAUAUAUAAUUUUGAAUGUGAGGAGACGUCUUAUUUUACUUAUAUGGCCCUUGCUAGCUUAUGCUAUUUUGCCUGAUGAAGCUAGUCGGAGAUUAAGACCAAUUUAGACCAAUUGCUGAGGCACUUCUGUUCUAUGUUUGUAUGUCUGUUAGAAUGGAUGUAUUAUGUAGUGCUCAUUCUUAUACUGCAGAAGAGGCUGCUAUGGUCUUACAUCAAGCUGGAGCGGCAUCAAUCAUCAGGUCGACCCCCGAGUCUCCUGAGGAUGCUGAACUCGGGACAUACAAGUCAAAUUUGUUGAGUAGAUUCCAAGAUUUAUCAAAUGAUAUAAGGUCUUGAGAUUCCUAUCAUUCUCUUAAAACUUGGCAAUAACAUCUUACAUAGAUGUUUUAUUAGAUCUUUUACCUUUAAGAAAUUUUUUUCCUGAACAAAAUUAAGAGAAUCCUUUCAUGGUUGUUACAUGCAAUUUGUGUUACAUGUCCUCUUCUAGAGAGCCAUGGCUAUGCCUCCACACCUUCUGAAGUAAAAGGUCCCUUGUUUAAUGGGAUCUUAAGCAUGCUUGUGGAAGAAUUCUGCUAUAAUGUUGUAAACUCGUCAAGGGGCAUUAGGAUAGAAAAAAAAAUCCGGAUGCCAUGCAAAGUUUCCAUGGCACACAAGAUCCUGUUUUGCCAGUGACUGUUCAUGGUUCUAUGACAUGCAAAGAACGGACAAGCACAGAAUCCAGCCCCUAAUUGGCCUGAAUUAAGCUCAGCCAUCUUCACAAUCAAAGUUAGAAGAUGCACUUGGCAAGGCUACACGGUUUUCCUUUCUCUUCAACGUCAUUGUGCACAUGAUAAAUUUAGCAAAAUUUGUGUGAUCUUUAACUUAGCUAAAUUUAAAUGGCCGGAAUUCUGUACCACUGAGCAUGAAACAAAUGAGGGCCAUUAGAUUUGAUUUCAGAUGUCUGGACAAGUAUCAACAGGACAUAUAUGCUUUGGAUUCUUUGUUCGACGGUCCAGCAAUGCAAAUGAGUAUUUGUCUAUAACCAUGUUAUCUGGUGCUCAGAUCAAUUUGUUCCUUCAGUAGAUUUGGCUACAUGUCGUAGGAAGUGGGGAACAUACAUACAUGCAUAUUCCUAGUGUCUUGUGAUUCAUAUUCAUUUCAAGAACCGGGACCUUAUAAUGACCCAAAUAUUCCUGGAAGGGGUGAUCAAUCCUGUGUAUGAAGUUACACACACGCAUGCACGCACACACGCAUUUGUACAUGGGAGGAAGAAAUGGUCCUCACACUACAGCCUGUGUCAACCAAGAUUUGGUAGGAAACUCCAAUGGUUCCUGUGAUACCAAUAGAUAAUUUAUCAUACGAUCUCAAAAUAGUAUUCUGUUAGAAGAGUAGAAAAAACCUAUAGCUGUAUAGAGUUUUGUGGCUUAUAUGCUAUGCUAAGAUUAUAAGAUUAAGAGAUUUUGCUGGGGAGAAUAUACCUGCACGUCCACGUAUUAAGAGGCUAUACGCAAGAGGGACAUUUUUCAAGUAUGUAUUAUACUAGAAGGCAGAGACUAGAGGAAGCAUUUUCUGGAAGAAAAAUAAAAAUUGCAUUCAACUAAUUUUCAAUGUUAAGGAAAGGUUGUUAAUAAUUUAGCUCGUUAGUUCAAAGAGACUCCUUUGUCAUGUGGUGUAUAUAGAAAUAGGACCCCCACCAUUCCUGUACAUUCUCUCUUUAUCACUCAACUUUUGCAAUUUAAAUACAGAUUUGCGUUGUUUUUGUCACAUUUGCAUGUGAAUGUACUUUCCCGAAGUGAUACUCUCCACAACUCACGUGAGGUCUUUGCCUGAGAAUCCUACAAUUUCUAUUCUCAGGGAUAAGUUUCCCUAAUUUGUAGUAAAUUACGUUUUGUUCGUCAGAUUAUAUGUUCUCUUUCUUCGUUUUUCAGUUUUUGUGAAAUAUUAAAUAAAAAGAAAAAGAUCAGUUCUUGGCAUUGUUUCAUAUCCAUUAGACUGAUAGGAUCCAAUAACUAUUUUUCCAUUUCAUAUAUAAAUCUGUUUUAAGAGGCAUCAUUUCAAAGUCCGCAUCCUCUAAAUCUUGUUCGUUCUUGUCCUAAACAUUAGCUGACUAUUGCUAUGUGCUACAUAUUGUGGCAAUUGCGAUGUCAAUAGCGAAAGCGUUACCAUACCAAGAGUUGCAUCUUUGAGAUAAAUCAACAAGCAGUGCAUAAGACAGGAUGAUAUACGAUUUUUACAUAUUGGUUAGUGCGGAGAGGAGUAGAUAACGUCACUUUCAUAUACAUUUCAACCUUUUAUUAGUGAUUAAAAUAAUUUCUUUCGAGAUUUCAAAUACGGAUAAACCUUUUCUCCUUAUAUUACACUUUGAUUUUGCACUAGCAAUAUUAGCCUAUUGUCACAAUUUGUUUCGUAAGUAGAUUUGGGUUUAAGACUGAUAUAUGUCUUGCUACUCUCUCGUCCAAAUUUAUGUGGCAGUAUUCGAAUUUCGAGAGUCAAACUAAUUAUUUUUUUACAUGCCUUUUAAAUAUUUUGAAUAUUAAUUAUUGUAAUUUAUAGGACUUUUUACAUAGUUUUCAAAUAUAUUUUAUUUCAAUUUUUUUGCAAAAGAUUUUAUAUCAGAAUUCAUUGUUAAAGUUAACUCGUUUGACUCUCGAAAUUUGCAAAUCGCCAUUUUAUGAGACGAGUGGAAUAUUUGAUAUUAUUUUUGUAUGUACAUAUUUGUUUUUACAACAAUAAUGUUUACAUACAUAUAUAUGAAGAAGAUAUUUUGCGAAACGGUGUCAAAUAAUGACACCCGUGGCCGUAGUAAAGAGUGUCUCCGUCACUGCCAUGGUUCGUAUGACGCGUAGGGUAGCUAGUGGUGACGAUAUGACAAAAAUACUAGGAGGAAGGAUAAGAGAUAUACACUAUGUAUUAGUUUAGCUAUUAAUUAGCAAAAGGGUUAGAGAGGGAACAAAAUAAGCAGAGAAAUGAGGAAGAGACAAGGUUGAAGCAGGAGAAAUGUAUGGAGAGAAUUGUAUUGUAGUAAUGAUAAAAGGGGAACAUGUGAAGAGGUUGGGUACGUGCAUUUGUCCUUGAGGAAUGGAGACAAUCUUUGAAGCAACAACCUUAUGCCAACUUCCUUAUUAAUGAACUGUUCCUAUUUGCAAUACUGAUGACAUCUCGUGACACCAUUCUGUGGAGAUAUAUUGGAUACUAGCUACCUCACCUUACUCCUACUACUAUAUAUCUUCCCCCUCUCUCUAUACAUAUUAUCUUUUAUUAACUCUGAUAACAUCUCGUGACACCAUUCUGUGGAGAUUUAUUGGAUACUAGCUACCUCCCCCUACUCCUACUACAAUAUAUCUUCUAUUAAUUAAAUCCAAACGAAGUUCAUGGGCCGUUUUCCUAUUUUUUUAUUCCUGUUGUCUCGAUGUUUUCAGUUUAUUUUGAAUUUUUAGAUCUACUUAGCUCGAUUGUUUCACCUAUAUAUAGUUCGUGAACAAUUUGUUACCCUAUUGGCUCAACGAAUCAUGUUAUUAUGCACGGCAUUACGUUUUUUGGCUUUGCACAGGAGAUAAUGACAAGGCAUCCAAGGCUCAAUAAAUUAAAUGUUUUCUGUUAUGAGGAGAGAGGUAAUUUUGGUGCAUUCAUGGGAUCCUAAAUCAAGAAAAAUAGUAUGUUAAAGGUUAGAAAGUCACUAAGCUGUAUACAAAAGAAAGUGUUAAUAUGAAGUCACGUCAGGUCUAGAUAUAAUGAUCAAUUUUCUUGGUUCACCAUUUGAGAAAUGAUCAGAUUGAAAUGUGGUGGGGGAUAAUAUGACAUGGCAAAGAACUUAAAACAGAAUUAAAUGUGUAUAUAGUAUUCCAAUAUGAUCACGAGAUGUCAUGAUAAUGCUAAUUGUAGUGUGUACGGUAGAAAGGUAAAGAAGCAAAUAAAUCAUGCUUUAGGCAUAUUAUUCAAUAUAUAUUUCAAAUAAUGAUAAUAGUUGAGACAGAGAUAUUUAUUUGGUAAAAAAGGGGAAAAAUUAGUGAUUGAGGAAGAAAGGCACGUGUAGAAAGAGAGGAGAAGAGGAGGACUGAGGAGUGAAGACAAAGGUGACGGCUGGAGAAAAGGGGGAACUCCAAAUUCCCCGUGAAAACUAUUUGGAUUCAUCCAAAAUUCACAAAAAUAUAAACAUCUACCCUUUUUCUUUUCAUGCUUUCCCUUUAUUACUUUCUACUAUAUUUUAUAAACUAUAUAUGCAUGGUUUUUUCACCCUUUCAAUCCUUUUAUGUCUUUCACCAUUCAAAAUAUAUAUCCUAACCCCCACUCUACAUCUCACUGCUAGAUGGGCUUUCUAAAGUUUUACUUCCAUUUAGACAUUCAAUUAUUAUCAUUUCACUGUAUUUAAAUAUAUAUAUAAUUGACAAUAUAAUUUUUUUUUAAAAUUUAUAUUAUUUUGAACUGUGGUAAAAGAUCUCCUACAGUCUUUUAUGGGCAAUAUAUAUCCAUAUAUACUUAUUAUAAAUACUUAAGUCUAACUGAUUACAAAUGAGCUGAGAGUGUAUGUUUACAUUUUUAGUGUAUAAAGUUAAGCUGAUAAUAUACUUUCUUACUCUGAAUUUUGGUUUUUAAUCAGCAUAGUCUGAACUAGGAAUAUUAAUUAAUGACGUCACAAUGCAACAAAAAGAGGAAAAGGAAGAAGGGUUUCUAUGUUAUUGUUUAAAAAGCUAGAAUCAAAGGCUUCGUUUACUGGCAAAUGUAAUACGAAGCGGGAUGUACGAUGGUGAGUGGUUACGAGAAAUUAACAAUUGGAUCAUGUUAUAUUUAGAGAGAAAGUGAUAAAGGAACUGGACAAUUAUCCCCAGACUUUUGAAACUGAAUGUAAAUUGCUGAUUACUUACCCUCUCAAAGAUACUAACCAUCCAACUUUAGUAAUAGUAAUAAAUUACUUUUAACCAUCAUAAUAUUCGAUUUUAAACUUUCACCAUUUUAUCUUGGACAAGUCUUGGUAAUAGCCAUUAUCCACAAAUUACAUUAAUUACUCUAGAAAUUGCUUAAGUCUUUAAUUGUUUUGUCUUAAAAAGACAGUGAAUUAUUUUUGUUAUAGUAUAUGUUUCUUAUCCAAAGGGCAUCUUGGAUAAUAAUAUGACAAUUUGAAAUGUUUGUGUGAAUAAGAAACUGCACUACUCAUGAGAGGUGGGAAGCAAACAAAGAGCUGAUAUUGAUUUGAGAGAUCAUUUUCCCUCUCUUUAAAGAGAGCAGCCCUAAGGAAGAGAGAAUAGAGAAAAACAAAGAAAGAAAGAAAGAAAGAAGAGAAGAGAAUGGUAUCUAGGGAGCAGAAAAGAGCGGCAGUACUGCAUGAGAAGUUGCAACUUCUUCGUUCAAUCACUAAAUCUCAUGCUGUAAUUCUCUGCAUUUCUCAGCCUUCAUUUUCCUUUUUUCAAUGGAUUCUACUACUUCUCAACAACAUUUAUUUAUAUAAAGUGAAAAUCCACACUUCUUUUUUGCCUUUGAUAUUCUAGUGCCUUCUCCUUCUCCCCCCCCACUCCUUCCUUUCUCAUUUUCCUUAGAAAAAGAAAUACCCAUUAAUUUUCCCUUCAUAGUAUACCUUCAUUCUUCAACAUCAAUUUUUUUCAAUCUUUUCUUCUUAGGAAUCUUAUACAUCAGUAAAUUGUCCCAAGUUGCUUAAACCUAAUAAAUUAGGCCGUUGAAGGAUCGGAGAUAUUACCAUGCAUUUACUUAAUUGAUUCCCUGACUUCUUUAGAGUACGUCUUUCUUCAUUAUCUACUCCACUUAAAAGAGGUUAAAAAGGGCAAACAUUACAUGAUCUUUGUUCAUUCAUAGACAUUCUUUUCUAAUGCAUGACGAAUAUACAAGUACAAAAACGAACUUUGAGGUUUCCUUUGAUCCUAUCAAGUAAAUUUGCUUCUUUAUUGCAACUCCCAAGUGUGAGUUAAUUUGAUUUUUCGUGUUUUCAUGGAACGCAGAUAAAUGAAACAUCAAUCAUAGUAGAUGCAUCGAAGUAUAUUCAAGAACUGAAACACAAAGUGGAAAGGCUGAAUCAUGACAUUACUACUACUGCUGCUGCUCAAAGUUCCACCAACAAUACUUCUUCAUGGCCUGUAAUAUCUCCAUCAUAAUUCUUUACUUAGUAUAUACAUCUAAUUUUAUACUCAUUACCUAAUUUGACAUUUCCUUUGUUCAAAAGUGGCAUUUUCUUUCUCACUCUUUUUCCCUCUAUUUUUUUCCUGGAAUUUUUUUCCAGCAAGUGGAAGUGGAGACCCUAGAAAAAGGUUUCUUGGUAAAUGUAUAUUCAGAAAGAAGUUGCCCCGGAUUGCUUGUUUCUAUAUUAGAAGUUGUUGAGGAGCUUGGUCUUAACGUGCUCGAAGCUAGGGUUUCAUGCACCGACACCUUUCGAUUAGAAGCUUUUAGCGGAGAGGUAAUUUUCAUGUCUUCAUCAAUUUAAAAUGUUCAUAUAUAUAUAUAUAUAUAUAAACACUUUUUAAAAUUUAGUUCCGGCAUUAAUUAUUCCUUAUCCCACGUACCAAUAACGAGCCCUAAAGAAUUUCGUCCCGUUUAUUUUCGGGUGUAUCUUACCCACGGGUUUAAAAUAUCUCGCAGAUCGACUUGGGUUAUAAUUGUUAUUCUGGCUGUAUCAAGUGCAUCUUUUGGUAUAAUUGAUUAUUCCUUGCCUUGGGACCAAAUUGGUUAUUGGGCGUUAAAAGAAAAUAAAAGAAUGAGAAACGAGGAGGAGGACUAAAAUUUGUGGGACAAAUGGGAGAGAGGGCAAGAAGAAAGGAGAACGAUACAUGAUGAAAGUAUGGAAGGAGAGCGAUGGUAGCCCUUUUAUCAUUCACUUCCUUCUCAUUCAAACAUGACACACUGAAUUAGCUCCAUCACCUAAUUCUUCACUUCCUUUUCUACUUACUUUUUCUCUAUAUCUAUAUAUAUAUAUAUAUAUUACAAAAAUAACUAUUCAUUCUCUCCAUUUUAUGGUUAUAAUUUAAUACCUGCAUGAAGAAUUUUCUCCUUUCAUGUGACUUUAGUCUUUGACUAGUCAGUUAUUUCUUGCAUUGGACUAACAAUGAAAAAUCCUUUUCCAAUUAUAGAAUGAGGAGAAUGAAGAAACCAUCAAUGCCCAAAUUGUGACAGACGCAGUUUUGGAAGCUAUUAAGAACUGGAGGGAAAGCAACGAGCAAGGCUAAUUAAUCAAUCAAUUAAAGUAGCUAUUAAUUACUAUCUCUCUUUCAUUUUUUCUGAUCUUUAAGUUUAACUUUUCCCUAAACUUCUUUGCUAUAAUAGUUAUAUAAUCAGGAAUUAUGGCUAGUCCAUUAAUUCAACAAUAUUAUUGAUGAUCAAAGAUCAUUCAUUUUGCCCAGUCAAAUGACUCUCAUCGACACUUGAGAGAUUUUAUUUUCAGGUAACUUGUAACAAUCUGGAAAAAAAAGAAAAAAACUGUACUUUAUUUAUUCUGUACAAUCUAAAGUUUAGCAGAAAAUUUGCGUCUUUGCGAAUAAGUUGAUUAAUUUUAGCCCUACAAUAUUUAUCUUGUCAAAUAGUACUUCCUAUAUAUGUCAGUUUAUUCAAAUUUAGUCUCCUGGAAAGUGGGAAAGGUAUAGGCCUUCUACUUAUGGGUAUCUAAGACGAGAAGUCAAAGUGUUUCAUUAUUCCAUAAUUAAUUAAAUUGCCUAAAUGGGUGCAUAAUUAAGCAGCAAAUUAAAAAAAAUUCUUUUAUUGGUUUUAAAUUUAUUACUUGGUAUAGGUGCUAGAUAUAUAAAUAUAUAUAUCUUUGUCUGAGGUACAUUAGAAAAUAAUUUGAAGUGUGUGAUUCAUGUAUGUGAUUAAGACACCUCCUGGUGUUUCUGUUUGUUAUAUACAAUAAUUUAAGAUUCUGAUAAGUGAAAACAGAUGUAUAAAUAAUAAAGGCCAUCAUAAAAACUGGCCAUUUUACCAACUUCUGACCUGACAACAUUUGUUUGAGAAACUCAAAAUCUUCAUUUUGUAAAGUACAGUUGGGCCAUUCUUGCCAGCCUAGUACCUGUGAUAAAUGCCAAAAGAUAAUCUUACAUCCUGAAAAUGGAACCCUAAGCAAAAAUAAAAUAAAAAAAUUUUAAAGGGGAAAUUCCUCUUUUUAGUGCAUCAUUUAUUAACGGCUAGCGCUUUUAAAUUUUCUCAUCGUGAUACUCGGCUAUUAAACUUUUAAUUAGUAGACCGAACAUAAUAAUGUAGAGUAAUAGAUUAUGAACUUAAUUACCACGUGUUAUAGAAGUCCAGGACUGCUAUAGUAUGCAACUCCAAAUUAAGGGUAACAUAUUUAUAUAGGUUGACUAAUUUUCCUAAAGUUUUAUCAUCUUUUUGCCUAAUAGAAGAGUGCCUAAUUGUAUAUAGUACAGUUGGCACACAAUUAAUGCAUGGCUGAGCAGCUCAAGCCUAUAAGUGAAAGUUAAAUGUGUUUAGUCACAUAUCAAAAACCAAAAAUGAAAUUUGCCAAAAAUUGAGUGGCCAAAGUGCUAGACAUGUGUCAUUAUCAAGGUUAAAGCAUAUCAAAAUUGUUUUUUUUUCCUUUAAAAUGCUUGGAAUUGUCAUGAUCAAGGUUAAGGUGUACUAGAUAUGAUAUGGCUGUACGUAGUUUAAGCUCUGGAGUUAUGUAUAAGCUUUAUCUUAAAUCCAAUUUGAUCACACAAGUGCGCAUAAAUUAGUCGCUAAGCACGAAUUAGCCUACAAUUAUUAAUUUGGAUCCUCAAGAUAUCUUUCUCUGCAGAAACUAAGAUUAGUAUAGGAAACUUCAGUGUAGUAAAAUUACUUCAAGAUUGAAAAGGGACUAAAUGUAAUGGUGUAUUGUGGGCCGGGCCCUGACCUAAAUGGGUCUAAUGGGCCGGGCCUAAUAGGUCUGGGCUUUAGUGAGUUGGGCUCUAGCGGUUCCUGGCCAAACGGUCUUAAAGAAUGGGACCGGCUCGCUAUAGGCCUAAGCCCACAUGAUCCUGGGCUAAAUGGGUCGAGCCCACGAGCCUAAAUGGGUCUAAGUGGUCCAGACUAUUUUUUAAAAAUUAUUUUUAUCUAAUAAAUAUUCAAGGGAAUGUCUUAUAAUUUUUGUUAUUAUGACAUUAACAAAAAAUGGCAAUAUCUUUCUUAGUCUUCCUCCCCCCAAUGGAAACUAUACCACCAUUAGAGAAAAAAACUAAAGAAACUAUACCAAAAUACAAGUUAUAUAUUUGACCCGGUUGAACUAGAUUUGACCCGGUACUAGGGUUAACCUCAGUACCUACACUUGGUUCCUUUUGCUGCACUUUCAUUUGAAGAUAUUUAGCUUUAUCUCUAGGGUUUAUCUUUAUGUGUCAAGUCAAACUACCCGUACCGCUACGGUCUCCAGUAUAUUUAUGGGCCAUCAAAGCCCCACACGUUUUACACUUAGCCUUAUUUUGUUCUCUUAGUUGAGCAAAAAAUUACCAAACAAGAGAUGUUUCGAUCUGUUUAGAAGGUUAUCUAUUAAAAGUAGGGGUUACUACAGGAAGGUCAGAUGGGGCAUCAUUUAGAAUAUUAUCAGUUGGAUUAACAAUAGGACUAUUAAGUGUAUCAUCUAAAUCCAGUUCUGUUUCACCUAAAUCAUCAUUUUUUUCAUCAAUUUCAUCAAUAGUUGCAUUAGGAUACAUAGCAUUCAUAUAUUCAUUAUUUAAUUAUUGAUCUGGUGCAACAUCAUGGACAAAUUGACUGUUGGUAAAUUAAAAAUAUGGGUUAUUACUAUCAAGAAUAACAGGUGGAGGAGGACGGGUAACAGGUCUGGGUCAGGGAGCCAGGGGAAGAGUAGUAGCUUGGAGACUAGAAUCAUCAAUUUUAGAUUUUCUCUUACCACUAAAUAUUUUUUUCAAAAAAAAAAAUACCAUAUUAAUUAUAACUAUACAAACUUAAACAAAUAAAAUUAUAAUAUUAGAUCUUAAGAGUUGGAACGAGUUUACCGAAUUAACGAACAACUUCUUAAAAAUUGAAUAUCGUCGAAGACGUGAAGACUUGAAUACUUCAACCAACUUCACAAUUUUUCACAAAAUUGCAAUAAUAAAGUAAGCAAUUACAGAAGAAAUUAGAGAGAAAUUGAUGAAUUUAUGAGUAAAAAAAAAAAAAAAAGGGGGGUAUUUAUAGUUUAAAAUAAGGAAAAAAGUGUAAUUAUAAAAAGUUUGGGGUUAAAAUAAAGAUUAGGGGCUAAAUGAUUAUUUUUUAAAAAGCCAAACGACUGAAAUUGCAGGCCACCGACUAGUUUUUAAAUUUCUAACCGUUAGCCUUUUUUAAUUUUUUUUUGAAAAUUAUCGUUGGGCCCGUUUGGCCUAUUAGGCCCGGUUGAACCGGUCCAGACCCGCCUGUCGGUCCUGGGCUAAACGGUCUCGGGCUCACGAUCUAUUUGGGGAGGACCGGCCCACAGUGAGCCUUAAAGACCAUUUGAGACUGGCCCGUUUGAACCGGCCCAUUAGACUCGUGGUCUCGCAGGCCCGGGGCGGUCCCGAGCUGCGCCCAGCCCACAAUACACCCUUAACUAAAUAUUUCAUAGCAUAUUAGUUUGAUUGAUACGGUUAUAAGUGCAUCCUUACAUUUUUUCUUUCUUUUUCCAUUUAACUAUUCAGUUUCCGAAGUUUCACCACCUCGAUUGAUUAUAUAUGAUUUGCAUCAAGUAGGGCCACUAUGCGGGAAGUGUAUCCCUACUUAAUUGUAAAAAGGAGACUAGGGGUCGUUUGAUUGGAAAGAAGGUAUCCCAGGACUAAUUAUUCUGUGAUUAGUUACUGGGAGAUUAGUUAUUUUAUCUUUUUAAGGGGAUAAAAAAUAUUACAAUCCCGGAAUUAAUUAUACCGCACUUUUCUACCAACUAAGCAUGGGAUAAACACUUUUUAAAAUUUAGUUCCGGCAUUAAUUAUUCCUUAUCCCACGUACCAAUAACGAGCCCUAAAGAAUUUCGUCCCGUUUAUUUUCGGGUGUAUCUUACCCACGGGUUUAAAAUAUCUCGCAGAUCGACUUGGGUUAUAAUUGUUAUUCUGGCUGUAUCAAGUGCAUCUUUUGGUAUAAUUGAUUAUUCCUUGCCUUGGGACCAAAUUGGUUAUUGGGCGUUAAAAGAAAAUAAAAGAAUGAGAAACGAGGAGGAGGACUAAAAUUUGUGGGACAAAUGGGAGAGAGGGCAAGAAGAAAGGAGAACGAUACAUGAUGAAAGUAUGGAAGGAGAGCGAUGGUAGCCCUUUUAUCAUUCACUUCCUUCUCAUUCAAACAUGACACACUGAAUUAGCUCCAUCACCUAAUUCUUCACUUCCUUUUCUACUUACUUUUUCGCUUUUAUACAUUUCAUUCAAACAAAACUAAGAUCUAAAGAAAUGAAAAUUUGAGUUUCAAUUUGAUGGUCCCGCCCGGACAAUAUCAGCUUGGAAUCUUGUUACACUCUUCACAUUACCACAUUACAUAUAUGUAUAUACACGUUUAUCGCUUAAUCAUUGUUAGUGGUGAAGCAAGAAAUUUUAUUUAUGGUGUUCAAACUUGAAAUAAGUAAAGGAAAUCCUCAGUAAAGAGUAUUCAAUAUAUGUUAUAUAACAUUAAAAGCUAAUAUUAUACCUAUAUAUACAUUAUAAUGUUUGGACGAAGGGUGAUCAGUUGACCACCCUUAAGGGCUAUGUACCUUCGUCUCUGAUCGAGGUUAAUAAAUUAAGUAUGCAUUUCGUUUUUAUUUAUCACAUCUUCAUGAUAAUUCAAUGUAGUUUUACCAAGCGCAACAUUUUUUAAUAUUACACAAAGUACUUUAGGAUCUUAUAUUAGAACACUAACGAGUACUUAGGUACGUCAACGAAUCCACUAUAUUGAAAAACUUAAGAAUUAACUUAAGUGAUUGUUCAUUCAAUCACUUAAAUUAAAAAUAAUUUAUAAAUAUAUAAUAUAUAUAUAUACAAAACAUAUAUAAUAUAUAUAUAAUCGUGUAUAAUCAAUAUAAAUAUAAUCUAUAUAUACUAAUUAGAAGAAGUAAUAAUGAACCCAACGGGUUAUUUGCGUAAAGUUCUCGUGAAACUUGGUGUUGUAAGUUCCUACACCACAAGGAAUUUGGGCCUGAGCAACAAAGUUCAGGGCCUAUGAUAUGGCUUGAGGCCCGAUAUCGCAGAACAAUACAUCUAAGCCCAUCGUGCACAUAAUAUGUCGGGCCGAAGUCUAAAAUAAGGAGAAAUUAUAAAGAAAAUAUGGCAUGAAAACACGUAAAGAAAAUUGGUAAUGUUUUCGCUUUAUAUUAAAUUUGGCAAAAGUAACCUAAAAAAAUUGACAGCAUAUAGCCAAAUUCUAAAUAACCCUAGUUUCUUACUUAUUCGCACUCUCCC
Molecule: long non-coding RNA, 16157 nt
Filed under: Nicotiana benthamiana
Lineage: Eukaryota; Viridiplantae; Streptophyta; Magnoliopsida; Solanales; Solanaceae
Description: long non-coding RNA (NBEN_LNC011443)
Source: RNAcentral